AGCUUUGCGCAGAGGCAGCGUCAUAGCCAAGGACGUUCAACCGAGGCGUGACUAUUGCUAGUUGAAAGAAAGUUACAAAUGGCAAUCAGUCUCUUAUAAAGAAGAACAGAAAUUAAAAAUUCAAAUAGGAUACAAGGGACAAUUUCU
Molecule: small nuclear RNA, 147 nt
Organism: Argiope bruennichi
Lineage: Eukaryota; Metazoa; Arthropoda; Arachnida; Araneae; Araneidae
Product: U4 spliceosomal RNA
Exons: 1
Source: RefSeq, a predicted model, not a curated record